UACGAAGGGGGCUAGCGUUGUUCGGAAUUACUGGGCGUAAAGCGCACGUAGGCGGGUCGUUAAGUCAGGGGUGAAAUCCCAGAGCUCAACUCUGGAACUGCCUUUGAUACUGGCGACCUAGAGUCCGGAAGAGGUUAGUGGAAUUCCCAGUGUAGAGGUGAAAUUCGUAGAUAUUGGGAAGAACACCAGUGGCGAAGGCGGCCAACUGGUCCGGUACUGACGCUGAGGUGCGAAAGCGUGGGAGCAAACAGG
This 252-nucleotide ribosomal RNA is filed under the name uncultured bacterium. Its description in RNAcentral is "partial 16S ribosomal RNA". It matches the Rfam family "Bacterial small subunit ribosomal RNA", at positions 524 to 776 of the family's 1533-position model. The record is from RNAcentral.